Molecule: ribosomal RNA, 1336 nt
Filed under: metagenome
Description: bacterial LSU rRNA
Rfam family: Bacterial large subunit ribosomal RNA
Source: RNAcentral
UGAAUACGAGACGCUAAGGCGUCGAAGUAGUGUAUGUCAUACUUCCAAGAAAAGCUUGCACUGUCAUAAGUAAAAAAUGCCUGUACCAUAACCGACACAGGUGGGUAGGUAGAGUAUACUAAGGGGCGCGAGAUAACUCUCUCUAAGGAACUCGGCAAAAUAACUCCGUAACUUCGGGAGAAGGAGUACCUUAUUCUAUAAGGUUGCAAUAACAAGAUCCAAGCAACUGUUUAUCAAAAACACAGGUCUCCGCUAAGUCGUAAGACGAUGUAUGGGGGCUGACGCCUGCCCAGUGCCAGAAGGUUAAAGAAGUCGGUUAGCAUUAGCGAAGCUGGUAACUGAAGCCCUGGUGAACGGCGGCCGUAACAAUAACGGUCCUAAGGUAGCGAAAUUCCUUGUCGGGUAAGUUCCGACCCGCACGAAAGGCGUAACGAUUUGGAUACUGUCUCGGAGAGGGGCUCGGUGAAAUAGACUUGUCUGUGAAGAUGCGGACUACCUGCACCAGGACAGAAAGACCCUAUGAAGCUUUACUGUAACUUGAAAUUGAAAUUGGACUUUAUUCGCGCAGUAUAGGUGGGAGGUGUUGAUUAUAAUCUUGCGGGAUUAUUGGAGCCAUCAGUGAGAUACCACUCUUGUAAUGUUAGAUUUCUAACUUUGAAUCAUUAUCUGGUCAAAGGACAGUUUCAGGCGGGCAGUUUGACUGGGGCGGUCGCCUCCCAAACGGUAACGGAGGCGUACAAAGGUUUCCUCUGAACGGGUAGAAAUCGUAUCUAGAGUGUAAAGGCAUAAGGAAGCUUGACUGUGAGACCUACAAGUCGAACAGGGACGAAAGUCGGUCUUAGUGAUCUGACGGUACUGAGUGGAAAGGCCGUCACUCAACGGAUAAAAGUUACUCUAGGAUAACAGGCUGAUCUCCCCCAAGAGUUCACAUCGACGGGGAGGUUUGGCACCUCGAUGUCGGCUCAUCGCAUCCUGGGGCGGUAGUACGUCCCAAGGGUUGGGCUGUUCGCCCAUGAAAGCGGUACGCGAGCUGGGUUCAGAACGUCGUGAGACAGUUCGGUCCAUAUCCGGUGUAGGCGUUAGAAUAUUGAGAGGAGCCUUCUUUAGUACGAGAGGACCGAGAAGGACAUACCUCUGGUGUACCAGUUAUCGUGCCAACGGUAAACGCUGGGUAGCUAUGUAUGGAGUGGAUAACCGCUGAAAGCAUCUAAGUGGGAAGCCCACCUCAAGAUGAGUAUUCUGGUGUAAGGUCACGGGAAGACGACCCGUAAUAGGCACGAGGUGGAAGUGCAGAGAUGUAUGAAGCCGAAGUGUACUAAUAGACCGUCGGCUUGAC